ACUGAUUAUUUUGUGACUGAGUGGCGGACGGGUGAGUAACGCGUGGGUAACCUGCCUUGUACAGGGGGAUAACAGUUGGAAACGGCUGCUAAUACCGCAUAAGCGCACGGCAUCGCAUGAUGCAGUGUGAAAAACUCCGGUGGUAUAAGAUGGACCCGCGUUGGAUUAGCUAGUUGGUGAGGUAACGGCCCACCAAGGCGACGAUCCAUAGCCGACCUGAGAGGGUGACCGGCCACAUUGGGACUGAGACACGGCCCAAACUCCUACGGGAGGCAGCAGUGGGGAAUAUUGCACAAUGGGCGAAAGCCUGAUGCAGCGACGCCGCGUGAGCGAAGAAGUAUUUCGGUAUGUAAAGCUCUAUCAGCAGGGAAGAUAAUGACGGUACCUGACUAAGAAGCACCGGCUAAAUACGUGCCAGCAGCCGCGGUAAUACGUAUGGUGCAAGCGUUAUCCGGAUUUACUGGGUGUAAAGGGAGCGCAGGCGGUGCGGCAAGUCUGAUGUGAAAGCCCGGGGCUCAACCCCGGUACUGCAUUGGAAACUGUCGUACUAGAGUGUCGGAGGGGUAAGCGGAAUUCCUAGUGUAGCGGUGAAAUGCGUAGAUAUUAGGAGGAACACCAGUGGCGAAGGCGGCUUACUG
RNAcentral lists this ribosomal RNA (638 nucleotides) under uncultured bacterium. RNAcentral's name for it is "bacterial SSU rRNA". It matches the Rfam family "Bacterial small subunit ribosomal RNA", at positions 74 to 731 of the family's 1533-position model. The record is from RNAcentral.